Molecule: unclassified non-coding RNA, 344 nt
Filed under: fungal sp.
Lineage: Eukaryota; Fungi
Description: partial internal transcribed spacer region
Rfam family: Eukaryotic small subunit ribosomal RNA (bases 1-46)
Source: RNAcentral
AAGUCGUAACAAGGUUUCCGUAGGUGAACCUGCGGAAGGAUCAUUAACACAAUUUUGAUUCACAAAUCUCUUUGCUUCGUUGUCUUUUUUUCUAGAUGCGAGAAAUUGUAGCUAGAGAAGAGCAACAAGCAAUUAACCCCCUUUCUAUGACGAAAAAUCUUUACAAAAGAAUGGAAGAAAAAGGAAUGUGUUUCGUCACAAUCCGUUUCAACCGUUUUUUUCCUUUACCCAAUUUUUUUUACCCCUUUUACAACCUGUAAUAGACUGAAAACAAAAAUCAUAUUCUAGAUCUCUAGAAUCUAAAACUAAGAAAACAACUCUUAGCAACGGAUAUCUAGGUUCUC